Molecule: non-coding RNA, 73 nt
Organism: Biomphalaria glabrata
Lineage: Eukaryota; Metazoa; Mollusca; Gastropoda; Planorbidae
Source: Rfam
GGCGUGGUGGCUGAGCGGUAAAGCGCUUGGCUUCUGAACCGGAGGGUCCCGGGUUCGAAUCCUGGUGAAGACU